CAUAGUUGAAGCUCCAUUAUCUGAAGGUGUGGUGGGACCAAUAUUGCAACUGCAUGAGACAUGUGUUUUGGCAAUAGAUCAUCAUGGAUGACUUAAUUAACUAAGUACGUACGUAAUUGUAUUGUACCCAUAAGUUUUUGAGUAAUUAUUAUAGGCGUUUUCCAAGUUGAUAAGCUGCAGAAUAUGAAUUGGAGCUAGCUAUAGAUAUCUGUUUUGUCAACACUUUUGUGGUUUUCUCUUUCGUACGUCAACCUUGUAAGGCAUAAACCAUGCAUUUCUUAGAAAAGUAUAAACAAAAUAUAAUGGGAAAUAUUUGGUUCGGUAAGAACAAGGGAUUUCACCCUAUAAACGACGACAGACAAAGAAAAACGACAACAAAUAAUAGUAGUGUGACAAUUAAGGUGCGUAUGAGGGCAACAGAGUUUAGGGAGCUGGUGGCUCAGGUGGAUAUGGAUUUAACCAAAACUAAUAACGCUAAUUCAGAGCUUGGCUGGUUGAUCCUUCAACACUGUCUUCAAGGUAAGAAUCGUUCUCCAAUGGACGUCGAUCGUUGCCGUUUAUCGCAAACGACAAUAGAUUAUCGUCGUCUAAGCACCAUUUGUGAAGAAGAAGAAGAAAAAAAAAAUAAGUAGUGAUUUUUUUUUCUUAAUUAAUUUAUGUAUUGUUAUUAUUGGGAAUUAACAAACGCAUAUAUGGUCAUGAUGGAACCUAUAUUAUUACAUAAUAUUUGAGAGACAAAAUAGAUCAAUUUAAUAUAAACAAGUAUAUAUAUGAUAUUGAAGACGUUAUUUAAUUUUUAUUUUGGUUGUAUUUUUUUAGGUUUGUCAUUAAACAUGAGUUUUUAGUUAAUAUUCAAUCUUAUACACACAAGUUUUCUUUUUUUUUUUUUUUCUUUUUUUUUUGGGGGGGGAUUAGUAGUAAUAAAUAGCCGUUGAAGAAAAUUGGGUAAAUUCCUGGAGCGGUUUAUUGUUGAUAUGCCAAAUUAAUAACUAUUGAUUUAAUAAAGCUAGCGUUGCUAGAAAUUUAUAUUA
Cannabis sativa is the source of this 1031-nucleotide long non-coding RNA. RefSeq lists it as uncharacterized. The record is from RefSeq and is a predicted model, not a curated record. The transcript has 2 exons. NCBI's taxonomy places the organism in Eukaryota, Viridiplantae, Streptophyta, Magnoliopsida, Rosales, Cannabaceae.